GGCACUCAAACAACAACCAGUAGUAGUGACUCCUGCAAGUGAUCCAGAACUUAAACUUUAAAUCUAAUGUUACUCUAUCUUAAGCUGCCGAUUCAUUAUAACCACAAUAUACAAAUUGUUAUCACAAUACAACAGCAACAUAAAUCGUUACAUAUUAACAUUGCAAUCAAUUCGGCAUAUGCAACGCAUAAUCAAAGCAACGCAGGGUCGAAUCUCACCGAAUCGGAACUAAAUCAAACCAACAAAUCUCAUAAAUUCGACAGCACAAUGAAAUUGAAGCAAAACAUAAUCCAACUCGAAAUCAUAGAUGGCAAAUGAAAUUAAAGAGAAAAAAUUAAGCAGCAAGUCAUCCUUUUCUUACAGAACUCAUUGACAGCACAAUCAGCCAUAUUAAUAACAACACAAUUCAGCUCAGAUUUGAACAAUGAAUUCGGCGGUCCUAAAUAUAAAAUCAUGAACCAUUGACUGAUAGCUUAACCACACAAUUUCCUGUUUUUUCUACUUAAACUGUACAGAAACUAAUUAACCCAAAAGUUGGAAUAAGCCUGUCAAAAAAACUUCAAACUACGAAUCAUAACAACAGCCAGCAAUUACUACACACAAUACAUCAUUGGUUUAACUAAAAAAAAAUACAGAAUGCUGUAAACAGGCAAAACUUUUGAUGAGUUCAGAUUAUUACCAACAUAAAUGACGAUAACCAACCGCUGCUUUUGAGGUAUGACGGAAUUUGAACCGAAAAUGGGUCGGUUUGAAAGCAGGACCAAAAGAGUACCCCUCGUUUACAUCCGAACAGCAGAUUUUGUUGUUUUUCUGUCAGCGGCUUGCUCGAACUUCCUGCUAAUCUUUUAAAUCGACUUCGGCAUCCAAAAGCUUCCUUAGUCAGAUUUACCGCUACCGAUACCGAUUUCAAAACCCCACUUCAGUAGUCUUGACUCCAAAUUGUGACGGCGAGGGUUUUGUGGAUUGCGGAGGGAGAGAACAAUGGUGGAGAUAAUGACGAUGAGGGUUUCGGAUGGUGGUGGCCGGAAUCGAGUGAGGUUUGAGGGACGGUGAGGCGAGUUUUGAAGAUGAAAUGAACGACGGCUGUAGGGUUUCGCGAUUGUUCGUCGGAAAGGAGAAGAGGAGUUGUUGUGAGAUUGAAGGGUGGCCGUGGCUUCGUGGAGAAUAUGAAGAGCGAUGGUUGAGAGAAUAUGGCGUUUCCGGCGGUGAUUUUCAGUGAGGGUUUCGGGGAUGAGAGGGAUUUGAGAGUUAGACUGAAGAGGAAAGGAUUUUAGCGUGAGAUGUGAAGGUGAGCGAGAUGAUGAAGGGCGAUUGAGGGUUUUUGGAGAGUGAAGAGAUUUUUUGUGAUUGUCUGAGAGAUUGUCAGUGAGGAGUGAAUGGUGAGAGAGGUUAUAUGAUAGCUGUUAUUAAUAAUGAGAGAGUGAUGUGAAGAGAAUGAGGGUAACGUGUGAGUGUGGAGAGAGAGAUGAUGGAGAGUGAUUUUGGGAGUGGGCUCUAGGUAGCAGGGAAAGAGAGUCUAUGUAUGUGAGUGGAGAGAAAACGUGUGAUGAGGGAAGAAAAAGAUAUAUUUUUGAUAUCCUUUUGUGGGUUGUCAAAGAAUCCAAUGCUAAAACUU
RNAcentral lists this long non-coding RNA (1615 nucleotides) under Lathyrus oleraceus (garden pea). RNAcentral describes it as "Pisum sativum (pea) long non-coding RNA (PSAT_LNC003700)". Lineage: Eukaryota; Viridiplantae; Streptophyta; Magnoliopsida; Fabales; Fabaceae. The record is from RNAcentral.